This 254-nucleotide ribosomal RNA is filed under the name uncultured bacterium. Its description in RNAcentral is "partial 16S ribosomal RNA". It matches the Rfam family "Bacterial small subunit ribosomal RNA", at positions 524 to 776 of the family's 1533-position model. The record is from RNAcentral.
UACGUAGGGGGCGAGCGUUGUCCGGAUUUAUUGGGCGUAAAGAGCUCGUAGGCGGCUUGGCAAGUCGGGUGUGAAACCUCCAGGCUCAACCUGGAGACGCCACUCGAUACUGCCAUGGCUAGAGUCCGGUAGGGGACCACGGAAUUCCUGGUGUAGCGGUGAAAUGCGCAGAUAUCAGGAGGAACACCAGCGGCGAAGGCGGCGCUCUGGGCCGGAACUGACGCUGAGGAGCGAAAGCGUGGGGAGCAAACAGG